GUAAUGGCUCACCAAGGCGAUGACGGGUAGCUGGUGUAAGAGCGCGACCAGCCACACUGGGACUGAGACACGGCCCAGACUCCUACGGGAGGCAGCAGUGGGGAAUAUUGCGCAAUGGGCGAAAGCCUGACGCAGCGACGCCGCGUGGGGGAGGAAGGCCUCAGGGUUGUAAACCCCUGUCAGGUGGGACGAACCCCGAGUCGGCUAACAUCCGGCUCGACUGACGGUACCACCAGAGGAAGCUCCGGCUAACUCCGUGCCAGCAGCCGCGGUAAUACGGAGGGAGCAAGCGUUGUUCGGAAUUACUGGGCGUAAAGGGCGCGUAGGCGGUCACGUAAGUCGGAUGUGAAAUUCCGGGGCUCAACCCCGUGAACUGCACUCGAUACUGCAUGACUAGAGAGAGGUAGGGGCAAGUGGAAUUCCCGGUGUAGCGGUGGAAUGCGUAGAUAUCGGGAAGAACACCCGUGGCGAAGGCGGCUUGCUGGACCUUUUCUGACGCUGAAGCGCGAAAGCGUGGGGAGCAAACAGGAUUAGAUACCCUAGUAGUCCACGCC
RNAcentral lists this ribosomal RNA (554 nucleotides) under uncultured Actinomycetes bacterium. RNAcentral describes it as "bacterial SSU rRNA". It matches the Rfam family "Bacterial small subunit ribosomal RNA", at positions 257 to 801 of the family's 1533-position model. Lineage: Bacteria; Bacillati; Actinomycetota; Actinomycetes. The record is from RNAcentral.